GAGCGAAGAGGGAAGAGCCUAAACCGGUUGAGAGGUGAGAGGUGGGAAGUUAGAGGUGAGGGAUAAAGCCAAUCUCACAUUCGACAUCUCAAUUCUCACCUCUCAACCGGGGUAGAGGGACCCUGGCAAAGCGUAGCGGAACUUAGCCGAAGCGGUCUGGAAAGGCCCAUCGUAGGAGGUAACAAUCCUGUAGGCGAAAAGGCAAGCGAAGCGCAGGGACUCCCGAGUACCACGGAGCACGUGAAAUUUCGUGGGAAUCAGCGAGGACCAUCUCGUAAGGCUAAAUACUUCUUAGCGACCGAUAGCGGACAGUACCGUGAGGGAAAGGUGAAAAGCACCCCGGGAGGGGAGUGAAAGAGUACCUGAAACCGUAUGCUUACAAGCAAUCAGAGCCUGGCGCGUGAGCGCGGGUGAUGGUGUGCCUUUUGUAGAAUGAACUGGCGAGUUGCGGCAGCCAGCGAGAUUAAGGCGGAGAGCCGGAGUCGGAGCGAAAGCGAGUCUGAACAGGGC
RNAcentral lists this ribosomal RNA (510 nucleotides) under Candidatus Acetothermia bacterium. Its description in RNAcentral is "partial 23S ribosomal RNA". It matches the Rfam family "Bacterial large subunit ribosomal RNA", at positions 251 to 693 of the family's 2925-position model. Lineage: Bacteria; Candidatus Bipolaricaulota. The record is from RNAcentral.